UGGGGUUUCUCAGACAAGACGAGAGGUCAACGAUCAAGAUGCCUUGUCGUAAAUAAGCUGACCUCUCACUGCCCCCCAUGAAACCCAGCAUGCCUUUCCGAAGGAACUAAGAACGGGAAAGACCGCGGCGUCACCACGGCUCAAUGCUCGGGCUCAUUACUUCAGACCAAGGAGUUCUACUCAUGCCACGCUACGAUAUUCUCAUCCUGGGUGCGUCUUAAGGAUCGUUGCUUGCGUCCAAGAUGAUGUUCGGCGGCACAAUGUGAAACUCGUGUGUCUGCCCGCGGAAGCCGAUUUGAUCAACGCCGAUGGCUUUCGCGUCAGAAUGCAGAUUCG
RNAcentral lists this unclassified non-coding RNA (336 nucleotides) under Hevea brasiliensis (rubber tree). Lineage: Eukaryota; Viridiplantae; Streptophyta; Magnoliopsida; Malpighiales; Euphorbiaceae. The record is from RNAcentral.